CCAAAAUGGCAGCGUAGCGAAAACUCCAAAGCCUUAGCCACAGGUGGACAUAGGGUGUUGGAUUAAAGUGUAGCAAAAAACCCAAAGUAACAUCAGAAAACAGCAGAGCUGAGCAGUGCCAGCUGGGCACCCACAAACGGCUGGGAAAGGCUCCCAUUGGAAGCAGGAGGGGAUUGUGGUCCUGGGUUUUCCCCCAAGGCACCCAAGUAAACAGUGAGGGUCCUUUUCAGUAAGGUUGGAUGUUGGCAAGGUACCAGUACAACAGCUGCUCUUCUGAGCAAAGCCUCACUCACAGCAGGAGAAGCAGUAAAGGAUGGAACUCCUCAGUGGCAGGGAAUUCUCCCCACAGCAGGAGCAGCAUCAUCUCACCUCCAGUACCAAGAACAAGAGAAAGCAAGGAGCUGAGGCCAGCCCCUCAUCCCUCAGCUAAAAUCUCUGCCCUUCCCAAGAGAAAGCCCCCCCAGAUCAGAGACGCUAACAAACUACCCCCUUCUCCGAUUCUUUUGUCAUCUUUUGUCUCUCUUAAGUAUCAUCAUUUCCAUUUCUUAGGGACAAAAUAGAAGAAAAUUCCCUGAGCAAAAAGAAAAACAAAAAGAAAAAUCUUAACCUCCAACACUUGGGUAAGAGGGAAAGGAUCUCAGUGCAAAGAAUUCUUUCAGAACAUCAUAAUUUCAAUCAUAAGCUGAAUCAUAAGUUGAACCUUCUGAAUUGUAAUAAUCAUGUAAGGUCUCAGAGUUCGGCAGUUUUUUUUUUCUUGGUGAUCAAGGUAAGAUGAUCAACCACUGGUUCUUUAUCAAAUGGAAGGAGUCAAGCAACAGCAGCAGCUGGCAGAGUAAAAUGUUUAUUUCAGCUUCUUUGCUAAACAAGGAAGACGUAUGCUAGAUAGAUAGGAAGGAAUUUGCAAGUUAAUUAACUAUGUAAAAUUACAGAUUUAUGAUAUGAAUUGACUGUGGGCUGUUCAAAGUUACUUUGAAAUUAAGCUUUAUUUACUUCUUUUUACAUGAUCAUUUACAGAUGUGUAAGAAAAAAAGAUAUGUCUGGUAGGUUUACACUGAAAGCAAUGGUCAUCUAGGAAAUGCAAUUACAUCUCCUGAAAGCAGAAAGAUAGUCCUACAAACACCUUAGCCCCAGUCCGUCAAUGCAUUCUGUAUUUUCAAUACAAACGCAAAGUGUGUGAUGUUUGCCAAAGGUAAUACCCUCUGUGUUUCAUGAUGCUGUUUUGAAAAUAUGCCACUUAUGAAGAAAUAGGAACUGGAGUUCAGGCCUGACACGGUUCCUCCUCAAGAAUUAAACUUUAACACUUCUCAAAACACUGAGUGAUUUUCUGCACUGUUGCCAUUUCAUAUAUUGAUGCACAUAUAAGCUUCUUACUCGAAGGGACAAGACACUCUGGGAGAAGGUCCAAAUUCACACACAUUGCACAUUAGCAGCUACAAGGCAAGCUGGAAAAAUGUUGAGAUGGAACUUUAAAAGGCAAAAUAAGUUCUUACUGUGUCUGUGGUUUCAUGUUCUUGAAAGAAUAGUGAACAAACCACACCAAAACUUCAUUGAUACCACCUACUCAAGCCGACUCAGCUACUCCAAGGACUGCUCUCCCCCAUUAUACAGUUCCCUGUUGCCCUAUCCAGCAAAGAACAAUAUUACAGGGUUUAUUUUCCCCCAGAACUUUAUCAAGAAAAUUAUUAUCCUCAUUUCUUUGGAGAGAUUUUUAUUUGUGUCAAACAAAUUUGUUUUCAAAGAUUCUUAAAAAAUAAAAGAAAAAAUCAAACUAUGUUAACAGAUGCAGCCAUUGUGCAAUUUUUGUAGACACGUGUUGUCUUUAAUCAGUGGUUUUACGUUCAUCGGAAAUAAAAAUCUGUUUAGUAUGCUGGGGGAAUUAAAGUUCUGAAGAGAUUGUUUUAGUGCUCUUUAUUUAUGAUGAUUUGUUAGCUGUUGACUGCAGAAAUAAUUUUGUUGUUUACAUUAAUCUAUGGUAGCAGUAUUAACUUCACAUCAUACAUAAAUAUAAUUAUUGAUCAUUACCAGCUGUAAUUCACUGUUAGAAUUACAGAUUUACAUAAUUGUGCUAUUACGUGUAAACUUGAACUUCAUAUCUGGGGUCACAAAUAACUGGAGGCAGUAGAAGCAGAAAAUUCUGAUUAUAUGUCAUUCAUAUUUUAAUAUAUGCUGUUGCAAUUUUGAUCAGUGUUAAUGUAAAUAUUUUUAUGUACUAUACAGCAAUGAGAUGCUAAUGGCUAGAAAUUACAGCAAUAUUGAUCUAGCUAAUAAAAUGGAAUGCAUUAGUAAGAAAGGAUAUUUAUUAUCUCCUCCAAAAACUACUAUACAUCAUCUGCCCAAGGAAAAUUUUCUCCAUCAAAGAUUGAGAUGGCAUUCUGGAAAUGGUGUAAAGCUCUUCUCAAAAAUCAAUCAUGGGCUAUCUUGUAUUUUCUGCCUGCAGCUUUUUCACUGAUAAAACUUCACAGAGAGAAACAAGCUAUAUAAAGGGAUUCACUUCUGUAAUACAUUAUCUUCUCCUCAUGUAAUCUGCACAUAAAAAGAUGCUCCAGAAAGAACAAUCAGUACAGUUGGCCAUCUCCAAAAGGCAUUAGGGGAAUGUGUGUUCACAUCCCUGUCUUACUGAUGGCCUCAAGCAAAACCUGUGAACUCGGUGUUGCUCUUGGGCACAGUGAAGUGAGAGGUCUUGCAAGACACAGGCCUGCACCAGCUCUUCAUCUGGAUUUGUCAGGUGUAGCCAACAUAAAACCACACACUGAAAACAGCUGGACUGCUACAUAUUACAAAAAUGAUCUAGAUAAGGAGAGAAGAUGGCUUAAAAUAAAGAUUUGUGUAAGAUUUGACAUCAAACUCAGCUUCCAAAAAUUCAUCCUUUGUCAAGCACACCACACACAAGAAUUUUAGUAUUCCAAGCAACUGGAACAAGCUCUGUUCAUCCACAGGGAGUCAUUAACUUCUCAUUUCCUGUACUUAUGCAACACAAUAACUCAAAGUGAAAGGUCACACAAAACUUAAGC
Molecule: non-coding RNA, 3011 nt
Organism: Cyanistes caeruleus (blue tit)
Lineage: Eukaryota; Metazoa; Chordata; Aves; Passeriformes; Paridae
Source: RefSeq, a predicted model, not a curated record